AGGAACCCUAAAGUACAAACAAAGAGAAUAUUCCCUCUUGUGGACUCCAAUAUAAACUAGCCGUUAUUUUUGACUCUGCUGCUCGACCUCGAUCACGACCCGUUGUCGAGCUACUCGACGCAUGAGGUUAUUGACCGACCACGACCACGCCGCACUUAACGAUUUCCAGAUCACUCUCCUCGCCCAACUCUACACGACUUAAUCC
RNAcentral lists this long non-coding RNA (205 nucleotides) under Nicotiana benthamiana. Its description in RNAcentral is "long non-coding RNA (NBEN_LNC016543)". Lineage: Eukaryota; Viridiplantae; Streptophyta; Magnoliopsida; Solanales; Solanaceae. The record is from RNAcentral.